CUCCAGGUGUUGUCAGGUAUCUCCAGGGGUCUUCAGGUGUUGUCAGGUGUCUCCAGGUGUUGUCAGGUGUUGUCAGGUGUCUCCAGGUGUCUCCAGGUAUUGUCAGGUGUUGUCAGGUGUCUCCAGGUAUUGUCAGGUGUUGUCAGGUAUCUCCAGGUGUUGUCAGGUGUCUCCAGGUGU
Long non-coding RNA from Labrus mixtus (cuckoo wrasse), 180 nucleotides. RefSeq lists it as uncharacterized. The transcript is spliced from 3 exons. NCBI's taxonomy places the organism in Eukaryota, Metazoa, Chordata, Actinopteri, Labriformes, Labridae. The record is from RefSeq and is a predicted model, not a curated record.